GAUGAACGCUGGCGGCGUGCCUAAUACAUGCAAGUCGAGCGAACAGACGAGGAGCUUGCUCCUCUGACGUUAGCGGCGGACGGGUGAGUAACACGUGGAUAACCUACCUAUAAGACUGGGAUAACUUCGGGAAACCGGAGCUAAUACCGGAUAAUAUAUUGAACCGCAUGGUUCAAUAGUGAAAGACGGUUUUGCUGUCACUUAUAGAUGGAUCCGCGCCGCAUUAGCUAGUUGGUAAGGUAACGGCUUACCAAGGCAACGAUGCGUAGCCGACCUGAGAGGGUGAUCGGACACACUGGAACUGAGACACGGUCCAGACUCCUACGGGAGGCAGCAGUAGGGAAUCGUCCGCAAUGGGCGAAAGCCUGACGGAGCAACGCCGCGUGAGUGAUGAAGGUCUUCGGAUCGUAAAACUCUGUUAUUAGGGAAGAACAAAUGUGUAAGUAACUAUGCACGUCUUGACGGUACCUAAUCAGAAAGCCACGGCUAACUACGUG
RNAcentral lists this ribosomal RNA (497 nucleotides) under uncultured bacterium. RNAcentral's name for it is "partial 16S ribosomal RNA". It matches the Rfam family "Bacterial small subunit ribosomal RNA", at positions 28 to 507 of the family's 1533-position model. The record is from RNAcentral.